Molecule: non-coding RNA, 289 nt
Organism: Cinara cedri
Lineage: Eukaryota; Metazoa; Arthropoda; Insecta; Hemiptera; Aphididae
Source: the annotation of a GenBank genome assembly
GUCUACUGAGAUGAACUUGUCAAUUUGUAUUUGAGUAAAUUCUACUAAACAAAUUAUUUACAUACCUCAUUUAAUUUUGUAUAAACUAGUGUUUUAAAGAGUGAUACUUUUAAUGAAAUAUUAAUAUUGUGGAUAGCCAACUUAUAGAGUCCAAGUGGAGUUGUUCGCAAAAAUAAGUUUUUGACUUUAAAGUAUAAAGUAAAUUCUUUUCUUUAAAUUGUAAAAUGCCUAUAACUUUUUAAUUUGUAUUGAUUGAAAACAAGUGAUAUACACUAAAAAUUACGUGCUG